AGACCCGAAACCCGGUGAUCUAGCCAUGGGCAGGUUGAAGGUUGGGUAACACUAACUGGAGGACCGAACCGACUAAUGUUGAAAAAUUAGCGGAUGACCUGUGGCUGGGGGUGAAAGGCCAAUCAAACCGGGAGAUAGCUGGUUCUCCCCGAAAGCUAUUUAGGUAGCGCCUCGUGAAUUCAUCUCCGGGGGUAGAGCACUGUUUCGGCUAGGGGGCCAUCCCGGCUUACCAACCCGAUGCAAACUGCGAAUACCGGAGAAUGUUAUCACGGGAGACACACGGCGGGUGCUAACGUCCGUCGUGAAGAGGGAAACAACCCAGACCGCCAGCUAAGGUCCCAAAGUCAUGGUUAAGUGGGAAACGAUGUGGGAAGGCCCAGACAGCCAGGAUGUUGGCUUAGAAGCAGCCAUCAUUUAAAGAAAGCGUAAUAGCUCACUGGUCGAGUCGGCCUGCGCGGAAGAUGUAACGGGGCUAAACCAUGCACCGAAGCUGCGGCAGCGACGCUUAUGCGUUGUUGGGUAGGGGAGCGUUCUGUAAGCCUGCGAAGGUGGCCUGUGAGGGUUGCUGGAGGUAUCAGAAGUGCG
This 585-nucleotide ribosomal RNA is filed under the name Salmonella enterica. Its description in RNAcentral is "partial 23S ribosomal RNA". It matches the Rfam family "Bacterial large subunit ribosomal RNA", at positions 711 to 1292 of the family's 2925-position model. The record is from RNAcentral. Lineage: Bacteria; Pseudomonadati; Pseudomonadota; Gammaproteobacteria; Enterobacterales; Enterobacteriaceae.